Non-coding RNA from Punica granatum (pomegranate), 73 nucleotides. NCBI's taxonomy places the organism in Eukaryota, Viridiplantae, Streptophyta, Magnoliopsida, Myrtales, Lythraceae. The record is from Rfam.
GGGGAUGUAGCUCAUGUAGUAGAGCGCUCGCUUCGCAUGUGGGAGGUACGCGGUUCGAUUCCCCGGAUCUUCA